Molecule: ribosomal RNA, 429 nt
Filed under: Verrucomicrobiota bacterium
Lineage: Bacteria; Pseudomonadati; Verrucomicrobiota
Description: Verrucomicrobia bacterium partial 16S ribosomal RNA
Rfam family: Bacterial small subunit ribosomal RNA
Source: RNAcentral
UAGGGAAUCUUCGGCAAUGGGGGGAACCCUGUCCGAGCAACGCCGCGUGAGUGAAGAAGGUUUUCGGAUCGUAAAGCUCUGUUGUUAAGGAAGAACGAGUGUGAGAAUGGAAAGUUCAUGCUGUGACGGUACUUAACCAGAAAGGGACGGCUAACUACGUGCCAGCAGCCGCGGUAAUACGUAGGUCCCGAGCGUUGUCCGGAUUUAUUGGGCGUAAAGCGAGCGCAGGCGGUUAGAAAAGUCUGAAGUGAAAGGCAGUGGCUCAACCAUUGUAGGCUUUGGAAACUGUUUAACUUGAGUGCAGAAGGGGAGAGUGGAAUUCCAUGUGUAGCGGUGAAAUGCGUAGAUAUAUGGAGGAACACCGGUGGCGAAAGCGGCUCUCUGGUCUGUAACUGACGCUGAGGCUCGAAAGCGUGGGGAGCGAACAGG